Prosopis cineraria is the source of this 2264-nucleotide long non-coding RNA. RefSeq lists it as uncharacterized. The transcript has 2 exons. The record is from RefSeq and is a predicted model, not a curated record. NCBI's taxonomy places the organism in Eukaryota, Viridiplantae, Streptophyta, Magnoliopsida, Fabales, Fabaceae.
AAGACGUUGGGCAAUGUGCUACGUACCUAUAAACCCAUCAGUCAUCACCGUUAGUGGUCCCCGACUCCCACCCAAAGGCCAUCCCCACCGCCGCGUACCUCCGAGGUCUCCUCCCCUUACUCCACAAAUUAAAAUCCUUUCCCAGCACUCUUCUUCUCGUCUCUCCUCCUUUCUAAUUAAUUAAAUUGGUCAAAAGGAACUCACAGUGGAUUUAAUUGGCACAAAAGACCAGCUUCUGAGAAAAGUACUCAUAAGGACCAAGAUCCUCACGUGGAAUGAAUCGUUUGUCAAAGUGCCCGUGACUGCCUUUGGAAGUCUCUAAUCUGUUAACAGAAUUCGCAUGAAGAGGUUUGUAGCGACCGAAGAUGUUGAGCUUUGGGGAGGAGAUGACGGAGUAAUACUAUUUCGACAGCAAGAGGCUGGAUAUUCCGGCAGGCAACAGGAAUAAGUUGAUUAUUGCAGUAGAGGAGACGAUUUUUUGGGAAUAACUCCAGUUGCUCAGGGCUAAGACGGCGGCGAGGGAGAGCGACCCUGGCAAACUAUUAUGGAGAUUCACCAAUCACUCCCCGUCACAGUAGUGGAUGAUCACUUGAGCUUUUUUAUACAGCUUACGAGCUUGAUGUCAAGACACACACACGGCAUUUUACUGUAAAAGGAGAACUAAAUGACAAAAAAAUGAAAGCAGUUUUCUUCUUAAUGGUGACAGCUGACAAGAAACAGAAAUAGCAUUAAUCGAAGAAGACAUCAAAAUCCCAAGGAAACUGCAAGGUACAUCAAAAAAUAGCUGCCCAGCUGCCCCAGUACAAGCUGGCAAAGCAGGCAAUUCUCACUCUCCACAAAAACAAAAAAACAGAAGGGUGAAAUUUACAAAACAAAGGGAGGGAGAUAGGAGAAGAUGGCGUGAGGGGGGAGGAGAGUGCAUAUAAAGCAUAUUUCACUGAGAUACUUGACGGCAUAGUCGCGUAGCUGGGAACAUCUUCGGAUACUGUGUCCCGUGAAUCUGUGGCAUUACAAGACAGCCACGCUUUCUCCUUCGGCGGAGACCUGAGAUUCAGAAGGCGGAGCCACGGCUUGUUUAUUGGAUACCACACGACGCUUCUCCUUCCUCUCAUCCUGAAUCAUCUUCUGUUGACGGCAUUCUAGACUGCAGAAAGCACUGUCACCCCUGCAAAUUAUAUUCAAUAUUCACAAUCCACUGUUUAAGAAAAUGAAGUCCGUGAGAUUCAAGAAGACGACCACGAUACAUCGCGUAUUGGAUCCGAUUCAUGGUAAAUCCGGGGCAUAUACACCCGUUUCCCGGGAAAGAAUUUACAAAUCCAAGGGGUUGCGAGUUUAUAAACUAAACAAAUUGGAAAGACCGCCAGUUGGGGGAGAGGGAAAUAGAUAUGUACCUGUACAUGUAGAUGUCACGGCCGGGUAUCAAGCGACGUUUGCAGAGAAAGCAAGCACGAAGGAAGUCGGCAGUCUGGACGGGAUCCAUGGAAUGCCUUCUACGGCUUGCAGGCGACACCCUCUGAUCCAACCAAUUGGAGACACCUGGAUGCUUGCGUGGAACAUCAGAUGAUGGCCUGCCGUUAGGGUUAUAGUUAGGAUCGUUUUGGGGGGCAUCGGGGGCGACGUUCAGAUCGAAGGGAAUCUCCGAUAAGCUGGUGGUUCUCUUCAUCGGAGGACGAGGUCUCUUGCCCAACAACAUGUUGUCGCAGGUUUUGUGUAAUGGGUAUUGGUAUGGAGGAGGAGAAGGAAAGGCUGGAGAGGGCAGAAUGGAGUGAAGGGGAGGGAGAUAAAAAUCAGAGCCAAAAAGCGAGGAGUGAAUGUGAGCCGUUGAAUUGGGGGAGUGGAGUGAGGCGGUCAUAAAGGAGCGGAGAAAUGCUACAUCAGCCCUUAAUCAGCUUUUGAAAACCAAUAAUUAGGGGCAGUAAUUACAGAAUGGGGGAACUUUGGAUGCUUUUCCAAGACUCCGAAGCAGCAGUCACUUUGGGGGAUUGUGAUUGGAUGGCGCAGGAGGAAUUGGAAUCUACCGCAUUUGGUGAAUCAAAGACUUUCAAGUUUUUAAUUUGUGAUUGACUUGUUUCCCGAAAUGCCAGGCAUUGUGGAUCCCCCCAGUCUCGCACACACCACCACAACUGUUACUAACCCGUAUUAUUAGUGUGGCACAAUUAUUGUGAUUAUCAAUUUACCGACUAUCUUUUCUUUCUUUUUCUUUUUUUUUUUUUAAUUUCUGUCUUUGACUUCUGUCGUUAAUUUCACGGACUACCCCUUGGAUA